Long non-coding RNA from Alosa sapidissima (American shad), 97 nucleotides. RefSeq lists it as uncharacterized. The transcript has 3 exons. The record is from RefSeq and is a predicted model, not a curated record. Lineage: Eukaryota; Metazoa; Chordata; Actinopteri; Clupeiformes; Clupeidae.
AAUGACCUCUAAAGACAGUCCAACCACUCUCCAAAAAUUAACAUUUCAAACCCACAGAAACCAUAUAGGCCCCCUGACUAUUCUUUUGUAGAGCCCU